Molecule: non-coding RNA, 91 nt
Filed under: Elusimicrobiota bacterium
Lineage: Bacteria; Pseudomonadati; Elusimicrobiota
Description: Elusimicrobia bacterium c-di-GMP sequence
Rfam family: c-di-GMP-I riboswitch aptamer
About the family: GEMM was predicted in a large-scale screen for bacterial structured RNA regulatory elements.
Source: RNAcentral
GACGAUAAAUGGCUAACCCUGCCGAAAGGCGGGGGGCGCAAAGCCGCGGGGCUAAAGGGACAAGGGUCCACACGCCGGACGGGCUGCCGAA